UAUCACAGAAUAAAAUAUAAAUGUAAGCAGUGUUUCAUGUGCUACUUUUCAGCCGCGGCGAUGACCGCGCGCGAUGGUUGCACGCGCACGCAGCGCGCCCAGUGUAGUCGGCUUCAUUAACAAAUGACUCUUAAGAACCGGUUCUUUUUGAGUCAAAAAUACAAAGCGCAGCCCAUUUGUUCGUGAAUCAGAUACUGCUUCUCGGUUUAUUCAGAAGUCCUCUGAGAAAUCUAAUCCCGUCCGGAUGUGUUCUGAGAUUCAUCCCGUAAUUGUUUGGUGAUCGAUUCUCUGACCGCUCGCUCCACUUUCAUCAUGGAUACAGAGGCCUUUCUGCCACAUCGGACGAAACAAUAACAUGAGCCGAUCACGAAAACUAAUAGCAGAGUUAGGGAACAUGCGCCCGCUGAUGCCCGAAGCCUCAGCCAAGCACGGAAAUACUGCACUUUUUUCACAAAUAGCAAAUUCUCCACCAUGGAUAAACAGAGCGGGAGCUAAGAGUAAGCCCUGGAUUAAUCCUCUCUGCCAAACAGCAUGGACUUCUCAGCUGCGAUGCGACGGGCCGCUCUUGUCGCGUCUUGGAGAGGAAGCGCGUGAAUACAGAAAAAAAACUGCAAGGAAAUAAUCAGCCAGAGUCAUUCUGUCCAAGAUGUGGAGAGAGGAUCAGUCACAUGGCUGCUUCUUUAAAGCGAAAAAAAAAAUCAUGUGAGAUGACAGCCUGUGCGGGCGCUUUCCACUCACGGAUGCCUCCGAGGAGCUUUCGGCCUGCCUACACAAUGAAAAGAGACACAUACCUGUGGGCAGAGCUUUAUCGGUGCUACCUAACCAGGCAUGUGUCAGUUAAAUCCGCUUUGAAAUAUGCGCUCACAAGAUUAGACAUCUCACCUGAGAUGGAAGGACGUGGGUAAAGACUGACUGUUUUAAUGUGAUUUCGGUGCUCAGGCGGGCAGAGACACCCAACGGUGGUCUGUUGCAAUUGGUGAGAACCCAUAAACGUAUCAUCUGGUUCUGAAUGGUCUUAUUAUAUUUCCACUUCCAUUCACUGUAAUCGUUUUAAGAUGAUAAUGUUACUCGGUAUGCAGAUGUCAAGGCGGGCAUCACUGUUACUAUUGCUCAUAUUUUCAUUCAAUUUAAACAAACUAUGAACCUUGAGUAUUAAAUCUGGCAUGUGUGAUUUUUCGCCUGGUGUAUGAUAAUAUAAGAGAAAAAUUGCAUUUCUUGCUUGAAAAAAAAACAUCUUAACUAAGCUUAAGAUAGGUUGCUGGUGUUCUAGUAGUCCAGUUUGCUGGAUUUAAAGGGGGUUUGGACACUUUUCAGCUGGUCAGGCUGGUUUGGUUUACUGGUUUAAAAGAGGUUUUGUCGGAAGUCAUGGUUUUAGAAGGGUUUUUGGGCACUUGUCAGCUGCUCCAACAGGUCUAGUUUUCCAGUAUUUAGUGAGACUUUGUCAACUAUAAUACUUUUAUAUGGGUCUUGUUUAGUAAUUUUAGAGGGCUUUGUCUUCACUGAUGGUUUAAAAGGGGCACUUGUCAGGGAAGAUGGUCUUUGGGGGAGUUGAGAAUUUGUCAGCUGCUUGUUGUUUUUUUUGUUUGUUUUUUUUGUUGUUGUUGUUUUUAGAUUUUUGCACAUUUGUAAGGUAUUGUAAUUUUAGAUGAGUUUGGGGCAUUUUUGAUGAAUGAUGGUUUUCGAGGGGUUGGUCUUUUGUCAGCUGCUCUGGCUGGUCUUGUUUGCUGGUUUGUAAGCUUUUUGGACAUUUGUCAGGUAUUGCAAUUUUAGAUGGGUUUGGGGCAUUUUUGAGCAAUGAUGGUUUUCAAGGGGUUGGUCUUUUGUCAGCUGAUCAGGCUGGUCUAGUUUGCUGGAGGUUUUUUUAGACCUUUGGACAUUUGUCAGCUACUGUAAUUUUAGAUGGGUUUGGGCGAUUUUUGAGCCAUGAUGGUUUUCGAGGGGUUGAUCUUUUGUCAGCUGAUCAGGCUGGUCUAGUUUGCUGGUGAGGGUUUUGGGGCAUUCGUUAACAAUUAUGUUUUUUAGAGGUUUUUAAGAAUUUGUCAGCUGCUCGGGCUGGUCUUGUUUGCUGGGGUUUUUUUUUUUGGACAUUUGGACAUUUGUCAACUAUUGUAAUUUUAGAUGGGUUUUGGGCAUUUUUGAGCAAUGAUGGUUUCUGAGGUAUUGGUCUCUUGUCAGCUGAUCGUGCUGGUCUAGUUUGGUAACUUUAGAGGGGUUUUGGGGCACUUGCAGUGAUGGUUUAAGAGGAGUUUGGGGCAUUUUCAGCUGCUCAGGCUGGUGUUGAUUUUUUCAGGUUUUGGUAAUUUGUCAUCUCUGACAGGUUUAGAGGGGUUGUGGUUAUUUGUCAGAUACUCAGGCUGGACUACUUUGCUGGUUUCUUUUUAGGAACUUGUCAGCAAAGAGGGUUUUUGAGAAUUUGUCAGCUGAUGGUAUAGUUGUAUUAUAGAAAUGGUAUAGUUGCUAGUUUUAGAGUGGUUUUAGCACUUGUCGACUAAUCAGGCUGGUCUGUUUUGCUCAUUUUUAGAGACUUGCUGGCACUUGGUCUGGUCUUUUGUGCUGGUCUUUCUUGUUGAUUUCAUUGUGUUUUUGAGUACUUUUCAGCUUGGAGAUUUUUUUCAGCAGGGUCUCAAGCCAUAUUUAGAGACCAUAAUUUAAGUAACCACCUAGCAACGAUCCAGAAUACCAGCACUGUGGUGAAGCAGGGAGGAAAAGAAAUGGAGAACCAUGUCAGGUUAGAUAAAUAUAAAUGUAGGAAGGCUGGGUAAAACUCAAUGGAGAGGAAGACCCACUCAUGUUAUUUACACCAAAAUGACAUUCCCAUCGCUGGAACCUCACAGAAGCUCCACGCCACCACUUGCACUUACAGCCUGAUUCUUCAUUCAAGGACGGGCCUUUGAAGUUACCAAGGAAACCCAGAGCUCCUCAGACUGCUCCUCUUCAACAUUUCCAUAUCAAAGCCUCCUCACCCGGAUAUCAUCUGUCAAAUGGCAAUUAAAAUAUCACACAAUCAGUCGAGAUUAGACAAAUUAUGGACCUAUAGCAUUUAUAUAAAGUCAUGUGAUUUACACCUAUUUGACUAAGGUAUUGAUUUUGGAUAUUAAACUAAACUGUGGAAAAAUUUGUCAGUAGUUUUAUAAAAAUCAUCUUUGUCCCUCAGGUGUGUUUAUGGGUAAGAAGACAGUGGAUGUGUUUGAUCUGUAUGUGAUGGUGCUUGGUUGUUUAUCAGUAUUGUGUGAAAGUUAAACGCUCCCGUUCAAUCUUUAUUGUAUUUCAGCUUUCAUUUUUCGAUGCUUGUAUUGAUCUUGCUCAGAACUGCAAAUUCAACAAAAUAUUUCAAUCGCAAUAUAUGCCCAUAGGAAAGAAAAAUCACAAAUAAGAUCUCUUUAAUAUCUCGUUUGUUGCGCGUGGACAGCAACAAGAUUAAAUGGGGAGUGUUUCUGCAGUUUUUCUUCCUGUGAAAAAGACUGCAGUGAACUGACACAUUUUUCCUCUGCAGUUUUACAAGAAAUGCCUUAGUUUGUCUGCAAUAAAAAAUUUAAUACCAACUGAAAUAUUUCUCAUCAAAAUCUAAAUUAUUAAAAAUAAUGUAAUAAAUAUUUUAUCUUGUUUUGCAACAAAAAAACUAUAUAUUUUUUAAAACGAACAAAAAAGUUUGAAAUUGUGUAUAAAAAAGUUUCAGAGAGUAUUGCAUUGUAGUAUUUAUUUAAAUUGAAAGUAUAUUUUAUAUCUAUAUUUUCCUAGGGCAUUGGCAGUAAGUAAAUAAAUAAAUAAAUGCAUACAUACGUAAAAAAAACUCAGUAUGUUUAUAUAUUAUGCUUGAAACAAAACAAAAUGAUUCAAGAUAUGUUUUCAGAAAACAAGUGAUAAUCUAAUGUGGUUUGCUUUUCAGACACAUUUAUCUUGUUUAAGGAUGUUUGGAUAUUUUUAAAUUGGAAAACAAUGUGUUAUCCACAUUAAUUUAUCAACAAUUGUCUUAUUUAUUUCUCCUUGAACUUUAAGGAAACUUAAGCAGCAACAUCUGAGACAACAUUUGCACAUUAAUGAAUGAAAAAUAGG
Molecule: long non-coding RNA, 4053 nt
Organism: Onychostoma macrolepis
Lineage: Eukaryota; Metazoa; Chordata; Actinopteri; Cypriniformes; Cyprinidae
Exons: 4
Source: RefSeq, a predicted model, not a curated record